Molecule: ribosomal RNA, 417 nt
Filed under: uncultured Gammaproteobacteria bacterium
Lineage: Bacteria; Pseudomonadati; Pseudomonadota; Gammaproteobacteria
Description: bacterial SSU rRNA
Rfam family: Bacterial small subunit ribosomal RNA
Source: RNAcentral
GAGCGGUAACAGGUGUAGCAAUACAUGCUGACGAGCGGCGAACGGGUGAGUAAUGCUUCGGAAUCUACCCAGUAGUGGGGAAUAACCAAUCGAAAGGUUGGCUAAUACCGCAUACGUCCUACGGGAGAAAGCGGGGGAUCGUAAGACCUCGCGCCAUUGGAUGAGCCGAAGCCGGAUUAGCUAGUUGGUAGGGUACCGCCCUACCAAGGCGACGAUCCGUAGCUGGUCUGAGAGGACGACCAGCCACACUGGGACUGAGACACGGCCCAGACUCCUACGGGAGGCAGCAGUGGGGAAUAUGGACAAUGGGGGAAACCCUGAUCCAGCGACGCCGCGUGUGUGAAGAAGGCCUGCGGGUUGUAAAGCACUUUUAGUGGGGAUGAAAAGUGCAGAGUUACACCUCUGCAUCUUGACCUA